GCUUCUUUUUCCACCGGAGCUUGCUCCACCGGAAAAAGAGGAGUGGCGAACGGGUGAGUAACACGUGGGUAACCUGCCCAUCAGAAGGGGAUAACACUUGGAAACAGGUGCUAAUACCGUAUAACAAUCAAAACCGCAUGGUUUUGAUUUGAAAGGCGCUUUCGGGUGUCGCUGAUGGAUGGACCCGCGGUGCAUUAGCUAGUUGGUGAGGUAACGGCUCACCAAGGCCACGAUGCAUAGCCGACCUGAGAGGGUGAUCGGCCACAUUGGGACUGAGACACGGCCCAAACUCCUACGGGAGGCAGCAGUAGGGAAUCUUCGGCAAUGGACGAAAGUCUGACCGAGCAACGCCGCGUGAGUGAAGAAGGUUUUCGGAUCGUAAAACUCUGUUGUUAGAGAAGAACAAGGAUGAGAGUAACUGUUCAUCCCUUGACGGUAUCUAACCAGAAAGCCACGGCUAACUACGUGCCAGCAGCCGCGGUAAUACGUAGGUGGCAAGCGUUGUCCGGAUUUAUUGGGCGUAAAGCGAGCGCAGGCGGUUUCUUAAGUCUGAUGUGAAAGCCCCCGGCUCAACCGGGGAGGGUCAUUGGAAACUGGGAGACUUGAGUGCAGAAGAGGAGAGUGGAAUUCCAUGUGUAGCGGUGAAAUGCGUAGAUAUAUGGAGGAACACCAGUGGCGAAGGCGGCUCUCUGGUCUGUAACUGACGCUGAGGCUCGAAAGCGUGGGGAGCAAACAGGAUUAGAUACCCUGGUAGUCCACGCCGUAAACGAUGAGUG
This 776-nucleotide ribosomal RNA is filed under the name Enterococcus faecium. RNAcentral's name for it is "bacterial SSU rRNA". It matches the Rfam family "Bacterial small subunit ribosomal RNA", at positions 68 to 815 of the family's 1533-position model. The record is from RNAcentral. Lineage: Bacteria; Bacillati; Bacillota; Bacilli; Lactobacillales; Enterococcaceae.